RNAcentral lists this ribosomal RNA (497 nucleotides) under uncultured bacterium. Its description in RNAcentral is "partial 16S ribosomal RNA". It matches the Rfam family "Bacterial small subunit ribosomal RNA", at positions 28 to 507 of the family's 1533-position model. The record is from RNAcentral.
GAUGAACGCUGGCGGCGUGCCUAAUACAUGCAAGUCGAGCGAACGGACGAGAAGCUUGCUUCUCUGAUGUUAGCGGCGGACGGGUGAGUAGCACGUGGAUAACCUACCUAUAAGACUGGGAUAACUUCGGGAAACCGGAGCUAAUACCGGAUAAUAUUUUGAACCGCAUGGUUCAAAAGUGAAAGACGGUCUUGCUGUCACUUAUAGAUGGAUCCGCGCUGCAUUAGCUAGUUGGUAAGGUAACGGCUUACCAAGGCAACGAUGCAUAGCCGACCUGAGAGGGUGAUCGGCCACCCUGGAACUGAGACACGGUCCAGACUCCUACGGGAGGCAGCAGUAGGGAAUCUUCCGCAAUGGGCGAAAGCCUGACGGAGCAACGCCGCGUGAGUGAUGAAGGUCUUCGGAUCGUAAAACUCUGUUAUUAGGGAAGAACAUAUGUGUAAGUAACUGUGCACAUCUUGACGGUACCUAAUCAGAAAGCCACGGCUAACUACGUG